Molecule: long non-coding RNA, 1272 nt
Organism: Triticum aestivum (bread wheat)
Lineage: Eukaryota; Viridiplantae; Streptophyta; Magnoliopsida; Poales; Poaceae
Exons: 3
Source: RefSeq, a predicted model, not a curated record
CCACUUGCUCGCAACGCUCACUCGCUCUCCGUCGCUGCACCACUCACUCGCUCGCUGGAAUACCCUUCCCUCGUCGCCUCUCCUCUCCGUCGCCGCCUUCUCCCUCUCCUCGUCGCCGCCUUCCCCCUCUCCUCAUCGCUGGCCUCUUCCUCUUCCCGUCGCCGGCCUGUUCCACCGCCCCUUUCUCCCCACUACCCCGCCUUCACUCACACCCCGUAGGUUAAAAAAUUGAUUCUUUUUGCGUCGGCGAUGAGCUUCUCUGCGACGGAGGCGUGGAUGUGUAGCGGCGCCAGAGCUGGAUACGGGCUACGGGGGCGUGGAUGUCGAGCGGUGCCCGAGCGGACCUAGAGCGGCGACGGAGCGGCGGAUCUGACGAGUCGGGGCAGCAGAGCGACAGUGGAGCCUCGAAGCGAAGCGGCACGGGAGGCCGAGUGGGCAGGUGCCACCGGUGGCGGGACGAGCAUCUGGAGAAGGAGGGCGACGCCGAGCUCGGUUGGGGCCUCCUCGGCGACCGCUGCGGCGAGGUCUGCGCACUCAGUCUCUAAGUGCCCGCCGCGGCGAGUUGUACGUACGCCAAGACCUUCUACGGUGGAGUGAAGUUGAGGUCUGGGAGAUCCAUUUUCUCCUGAAGAUAUGAAUAUGUAAGAAGAAGUACAAGUAGAAGAAGUACAAGUGGAAGAAGAAGAAGAAGAAGAAGAAGAAGAAGAACUGGAGUUCUCUGCGCUGUCCGGGACGAGAAGAGGAGCAACAAGAAUCAAGCCCAAUACAGAGACGAGAGGAGCAGCAGAAGUGGACAACGCAGCGGCUGACCUCAAGCUCUUGAUUGGAGUGGGGGAGGUGGCCGGCGAGGGAUCUGUGGCCAGCAGGGAAGGAUCGGAAGCUGCGGCGGAGCAGGCAGCCGGCGAGGGAGAUGCGGACCGCAGCAGGGAAGGGCGGCCAGCGAGGGAGCUGCGGACCACCGCGGGGAAGGGCGGCCGGCGAGGGAGCUUCGGGCCGCGGCGGGGAAGGGCGGUCGGCUUGGGAGCUUCGGACUGCGGCGGGGAAGGACGCCGGAGACGCGGACGGCGGAGGAGCCCGACGGAAGGGAGGAGCGACGGCGGAGAAGCCUAGCGGAGGGAAGGAGCGACGGAGGAAGACGCCUCCCGAUCGAUUUCAAAUCGAGGGUACUUUCGUACUUUCACACCAUUUCACCUAGUCGGAACAGAACCUCCAGCGAUAAAUAUUAUGGAACAUAGGGAGUAUAUACAAAUUCCAACCAUUCUACUGCCAAAA